Molecule: ribosomal RNA, 253 nt
Filed under: uncultured bacterium
Lineage: Bacteria
Description: partial 16S ribosomal RNA
Rfam family: Bacterial small subunit ribosomal RNA
Source: RNAcentral
UACAGAGGUCUCAAGCGUUGUUCGGAUUCAUUGGGCGUAAAGGGUGCGUAGGCGGCGCGGUAAGUCGGGUGUGAAAUCUUGGAGCUUAACUCCGAAACUGCAUUCGAUACUGCCGUGCUUGAGGACUGGAGAGGAGACUGGAAUUUACGGUGUAGCGGUGAAAUGCGUAGAUAUCGUGAGGAACACCAGAGGCGAAGGCGGUUACCUGGACAGUUACUGACGCUCAGGCACGAAAGCAUGGGGAGCAAAAGGG